RNAcentral lists this ribosomal RNA (512 nucleotides) under uncultured bacterium. RNAcentral describes it as "partial 16S ribosomal RNA". It matches the Rfam family "Bacterial small subunit ribosomal RNA", at positions 28 to 507 of the family's 1533-position model. The record is from RNAcentral.
GAUGAACGCUGGCGGCGUGCCUAAUACAUGCAAGUCGAACGAAACUUCUUUAUCACCGAGUGCUUGCACUCACCGAUAAAGAGUUGAGUGGCGAACGGGUGAGUAACACGUGGGCAACCUGCCCAAAAGAGGGGGAUAACACUUGGAAACAGGUGCUAAUACCGCAUAACCAUAGUUACCGCAUGGUAACUAUGUAAAAGGUGGCUAUACUACCGCUUUUGGAUGGGCCCGCGGCGCAUUAGCUAGUUGGUAGGGUAAAGGCUUACCAAGGCAAUGAUGCGUAGCCGAAUUGAGAGGUUGAUCGGCCACAUUGGGACUGAGACACGGCCCAAACUCCUACGGGAGGCAGCAGUAGGGAAUCUUCCACAAUGGGCGAAAGCCUGAUGGAGCAACGCUGCGUGGGUGAAGAAGGUCUUCGGAUCGUAAAACCCUGUUGUUAGAGAAGAAAGUGCGUGAGAGUAACUGUUCACGUUUCGACGGUAUCUAACCAGAAAGCCACGGCUAACUACGUG